This is a non-coding RNA of Benincasa hispida (wax gourd), 284 nucleotides long. NCBI's taxonomy places the organism in Eukaryota, Viridiplantae, Streptophyta, Magnoliopsida, Cucurbitales, Cucurbitaceae. The record is from RefSeq and is a predicted model, not a curated record.
AGCUCGCGUCCGCCUCCAUCUGCAUCCAACGUCCGCGCCCACCCGCCUCCGUCCGCGUCCAGCCUCCGCGAGUCCGUAUCCGUCUGACACCAUUGAAGACCGAAGACAGAUCUGCUCCGCAUCCGUCCGCCACUUUCAGACUUUGUGUGCUAUUCCGAGAGGCGAGAUCUAUCCGUUCAACUUCCAAGACUUCAAAGUUCAAGCCGGUCUCGUCCAAGUCUGAAGAAAUGGUUACACAUUUAGCAACUGUUUUAGAAGAUGCAGAUGAUUUUGAUGAAGAUGGC